GCGUGCUUUAGAGUCGGGUUGUUUGGGAUCGCAGCCCAAAGUCGGUGGUAAACUUCAUCUAAGACUYAAUAUUGCCACGAGACCGAUAGCAAACAAGUACUGUGAAGGAAAGUUGCAAAGCACUUUGAAGAGAGAGUUAAAGAGGACGUGAAACCGGUGAGGUGGAAACGGAUAGAGUCGGCGUAUCAUUCAAGUAUUCAKUUACAUUAUUUUUAUGUUGUGAYCUCUGAGCUCCAGAUUGGGACAGAGGGAAKCAGCAUAAUUUUYUGUGRUGCAUUUACUUGWUUGGUGCUUGGGGAUGUUUGAGGCAGAUUUGUKUCCGYCGUUUUGAGGCCAGCUUGCUGGUACCCAAACGGUGUUAGCAUUUUUUGUCUUGGGCAUUUGAGUAUGGCUYACGKGYAUUUAUUGGWYAGAUCUGAGUGUAAGUUACGGUCGCAUGCGACACGUGCUUUUCAAUUAGUUCGGUCCAGUUAAUGCUCUCGUACUCGUUCCCCAUGUAAAAGCCGGUCAUCUAUCCGACCCGUCUUGAAACACGGACCAAGGAGUUUAUCGUGUGCGCAAGUUUUUGGGUGUUAAAAACCUAAAGGCGAAAUGAAAGUAAAUGRCUCUUUAGAGUCUGAUGUGCGAUCUWGUAAAAAAGUGYAGCAUGGCCCCAUUCUAACUGUUUACAGUAGGGUGGMGGAAGAGCGUACGCGGUGAGACCCGAAAGAUGGUGAACUAUUCCUGAGCAG
Molecule: ribosomal RNA, 731 nt
Filed under: Meloidogyne sp. TEP5
Lineage: Eukaryota; Metazoa; Nematoda; Chromadorea; Rhabditida; Meloidogynidae
Description: partial 28S ribosomal RNA
Rfam family: Eukaryotic large subunit ribosomal RNA
Source: RNAcentral